Molecule: long non-coding RNA, 467 nt
Filed under: Homo sapiens (human)
Lineage: Eukaryota; Metazoa; Chordata; Mammalia; Primates; Hominidae
Description: HSALNT0262928
Source: RNAcentral
GGAACUUCCGGCGUCCUCCCUGUGGCGGGCACUUUGGCUUGUGUCAGUUCCAUCCGCGGGUGCCGGAUCUGGACCUAGGUGCUGACAGCGAGAAGGCGCGAGGAGAGUCGUUUUCUCAGCUGCACAGCCGGGGCCUGACGGUCGCCGGCGGUGGUGACAGCUUUGCUCUUGUCUCCGCCCGGAUCGUCCACCGCUCCCGGCCCGCUCCGCCCAGAGUCCGAUGGCGGCGGCACUGAGGGCCCCGACCCAGGUAUUAUUGAGUGUUUUCAAGAAUGAAAAGAGGCCUGGCAUGGUGGCUCACAUCUGUAAUCCCAACUUUUUGGGAGGCUGAGGUGGGAGGAUCCCUUGAGCCCAAGAGUUUGAGGCUGCAGCAAGCUAUGAUCGUGCCACUACACUCCAGCCUGUGCAACACAGUGAGAUCCUGUCUCCAAAAUUAAAUAAAUAAAUAAAAUUACAUUUUGGAGACU